AGCAGCCGCGGUAAUUCCAGCUCCAAUAGCGUAUAUUAAAGUUGUUGCAGUUAAAAAGCUCGUAGUUGAAUUUCGGGAUCAAUAUGUUGGUCGUGCCUCGGUACGUACUAGCAUAUUGGUUUUUCCUUUCUGAAGAACCAUGAUGUCAUUUAUUUGGUGUCGUGGGGAAUCAGGACUGUUACUUUGAAAAAAUUAGAGUGUUUAAAGCAGGCUCACGCUUGAAUACAUUAGCAUGGAAUAAUGAAAUAGGACGUUUGAUUCUAUUUUGUUGGUUUCUAGGAUCGACGUAAUGAUUAGUAGGGAUAGUUGGGGGCAUUAGUAUUCAAUUGUCAGAGGUGAAAUUUCUUGGAUUUAUUGAAGACUAACUACUGCGAAAGCAUUUGCCAAGGAUGUUUUCAUUAAUCAAGAACGAAAGUUAGGGGAUCGAAGACGAUCAGAUACCGUCGUAGUCUUAACCAUAAACUAUGCCGACUAGGGAUCGGAUAAUGUUAAUUUUUAAUGUACUCAUUCGGCGUCCUUA
RNAcentral lists this unclassified non-coding RNA (520 nucleotides) under uncultured Glomus. RNAcentral describes it as "SSU rRNA". It matches the Rfam family "Eukaryotic small subunit ribosomal RNA", at positions 569 to 1091 of the family's 1831-position model. Lineage: Eukaryota; Fungi; Glomeromycota; Glomeromycetes; Glomerales; Glomeraceae. The record is from RNAcentral.